Poecilia latipinna (sailfin molly) is the source of this 1049-nucleotide long non-coding RNA. RefSeq lists it as uncharacterized. Lineage: Eukaryota; Metazoa; Chordata; Actinopteri; Cyprinodontiformes; Poeciliidae. The transcript is spliced from 2 exons. The record is from RefSeq and is a predicted model, not a curated record.
AGCAAUGUGUAUAUUUUAAACAGGUACAGCUCAAACUUUAAAUAUUGUGACAAGGUUCAAUAUUUUUUGAAAAGUACAACUCAAUUAUUUUAUAGGUUCAUUACACAAACACUGGAAUAUUUCAAGUCAUUUUUUUCUUAUUAGAUUGAUAAAUAUAGUUUACAGAUAACGAAAACCCCAAAUUCUGUGAAAUAUAAUAAAAGCUAUAACAUUUUCAUAGAAAAUGAAAGAGAAAGUGUGUACUUUCAACAGGGAUGACUGCACCCUUGAGAGGAUACAAUUGCCCCCAUUUUCAGAUGAAAGUAAAGUUUGCAUUUCAUUUGGAAAGCAAGGUCUCAGGAUCUGGAGAAGAGAGGACUCUCUUGCUUUAAGCCCAAUGUUUUUGGGGUUUUUUCCACAGUACAUGAUGGUUUGGGUUUGGGGUGCCAUGUUGGUGUUGAUCCACUGUGUUUUCUGAACUCCACAGUCAACGCAACUACCAGGAAAUUUUAGAGCAUUUCAUGCUUCACUGUGGUGACGAGCUGUAUGGACAUGCUGAUUUUUAUUUCCCAGCAGGACUUGCCACCUGCCCACAGUGCUGAUGGUACCAAAAGCAUGGUUCAAUGACCAUGGUCUUUUUUUCCUUCAUUUACCAGUAAUCUGACCCAACCAGAACCGCAUAAUCUAUGGAGCAUUGAAGAUAGGAAGAUGAGAGACACAAGGCCCAACAAUGCAGCUGACCUGAAGCCUAGCAAGGCCAUUCUAUCUCGCAUAAGCAUCUAAACCAUUCCAUUUUAGCUUUUGCUGUAUGUUUAGGAACAUUGUCCUGAACUUCAGUCCCAGCCUCUGCAGCCUCCAACAGAUUUUCUUCUAGAAUUGCUCUGUAUUUAGCUCAAUACAUCUCAUAAUGAACUCUAACAAGCUUCCUUGUCCCUGCUGAAGAAAAACAUCCCCAUAUCAUGAUGUUGCCAUCACCGUUGUUCACCAGCGGGAUGGUGUAUUAGGGGCUAUGUUGACUGCUGGUCUUCUGUAUUCCUUAAGUGGUGAAAACUGUCAUGACUUUAUUUCAA